RNAcentral lists this ribosomal RNA (253 nucleotides) under uncultured bacterium. Its description in RNAcentral is "partial 16S ribosomal RNA". It matches the Rfam family "Bacterial small subunit ribosomal RNA", at positions 524 to 776 of the family's 1533-position model. The record is from RNAcentral.
UACGUAGGGUGCAAGCGUUGUCCGGAAUUAUUGGGCGUAAAGGGCUCGUAGGCGGUCCAUCACGUCGGGAGUGAAAAGCUGGGGCUUAACCCCAGUCCUGCUUCCGAUACGGGUGGACUAGAGGUAGGCAGGGGAGAACGGAAUUCCUGGUGUAGCGGUGAAAUGCGCAGAUAUCAGGAGGAACACCGGUGGCGAAGGCGGUUCUCUGGGCAGUAACUGACGCUGAGGAGCGAAAGCGUGGGGAGCGAACAGG